This 398-nucleotide long non-coding RNA is filed under the name Homo sapiens (human). RNAcentral's name for it is "HSALNT0365638". The record is from RNAcentral. Lineage: Eukaryota; Metazoa; Chordata; Mammalia; Primates; Hominidae.
GUGUAACAGUAUCGCAUGAGCCAAGACUGUCAUGAAACUAUUUGGAUACUGUACUCUGGUUCCUUCAUCUCCUCCAUCUGCAUCAGCCUAAAUUGUCCUAGAGCCUCUGCCAUGAACCCGGGGAUAAGUGAGGAAAGAAAUUUUUCCUCCUUCACAGUAUCAAGUGCCAGGCCAGGGCACUUUGUCCAGGCCUCACUGUGAAGAAAGAGUAAUGUUCAAGGAUGGCAGCAGGAAGGACCCUAAUGAAGAGGUUUAUCUGAUUGGUUUACUGGAGUCCUAUGUGGGAUGAAUAGCUUCAGCCUUUGCGCUUGCACCUCUUUGCUGUCCACUCCAAUCAAGAACGGGGGCCCUCGCAACUCUCUCAGUUCUGAAACAAAUUAAAUCUCAGUGACAGACUC